This 318-nucleotide ribosomal RNA is filed under the name uncultured bacterium. RNAcentral's name for it is "bacterial SSU rRNA". It matches the Rfam family "Bacterial small subunit ribosomal RNA", at positions 1193 to 1510 of the family's 1533-position model. The record is from RNAcentral.
UCAUGCCCCUUAUGACCUGGGCUACACACGUGCUACAAUGGACGGUACAACGAGAAGCGACCCUGUGAAGGCAAGCGGAUCUCUGAAAGCCGUUCUCAGUUCGGAUUGCAGGCUGCAACUCGCCUGCAUGAAGCUGGAAUCGCUAGUAAUCGCAAAUCAGCACGUUGCGGUGAAUACGUUCCCGGGCCUUGUACACACCGCCCGUCACACCAUGAGAGUCUGUAACGCCCGAAGCCGGCGGGAUAACCGAAAGGAGUCAGCCGUCUAAGGCGGGACAGAUGAUUAGGGUGAAGUCGUAACAAGGUAGCCGUAGGAGAA